GUGAGAGAGCUGUGACUGCGUUUCCAGCUCCUUGAAGGCAGAGAGACUCCUGCCUUUCGGGGCGGGCGGGCUGGAACAAAGACACCAACGGGGCCACCUCGGAAAGUCUUUUUGAGCAGUUUCAGCAAAUAGCAUUUAAGGGAAGGGAAAAAAACUCCAAUGUACUCAAUAAGUGUGUACAGCAAAUUUCUGUUGUGCCUGGGAAGAAGGAAAUUUGAGUUAAAGAGGAGGCCCGCUCCAUAUGCCUUGUCACAAGUACACUCACUGAAACAUUAAUUCACGAAGAGAUUGCAACAAGACCAAAACGAAAGAGGAACAGGGCCUGACAAUGUUCAGAGAAGGAAAACCGAAGAAGUAACCAUCCCCAAGUUAAAAAUGACGUGGGGAUGAAAAAAUAGGUUGCCUGUUGUAUUUGUCAUUGAAAUGCACAAUCUUGUUUACUGUUUAUCUUGAGACUCUGGGAGCUCUCCUGCUGCUUAGGAAAAAAGAGGCAAAGGUUUAGGAAGAAAUGCUAGUCAUAAGAAAGAGAGGCAUUAGAAACCCUAGAGAGAAUGGGAGGUGUAAAUAGUAUGUGGGCAUUUGGCAAUCACCACAAAGAAAUGGGAGACAAAGGCAAGUGUCUGAUGCCAGAAAUCCUAAAAACUUGAGUGGAAAACCCAGACACAAUAAAAAUGUCCAAA
This 680-nucleotide long non-coding RNA is filed under the name Homo sapiens (human). Lineage: Eukaryota; Metazoa; Chordata; Mammalia; Primates; Hominidae. The record is from RNAcentral.